This is a long non-coding RNA of Rhinolophus ferrumequinum (greater horseshoe bat), 9997 nucleotides long. RefSeq lists it as uncharacterized. The record is from RefSeq and is a predicted model, not a curated record. The transcript has 9 exons. NCBI's taxonomy places the organism in Eukaryota, Metazoa, Chordata, Mammalia, Chiroptera, Rhinolophidae.
UCUUCCUGUGUGACCUCACCACCUGGACUCUUUAGUUGGGAUGUCAGAGAGUGAAGGCGUAAGCGGAACUUUGGGGAAAGAAGAGCUGGCAGGCGUGGUGGCUGAGAAGGUUGGCAGGGCAGAAACCAAGCCCUCAACGUAGAGCUGGUUGACAUCCACUGACCUGAAGGCUGAGAGUUCCCUCAUGUUCCUGUAAGCCGCGCUUUCCUCCGGUAGCAGCUUCGGUGAGGAAAUUCCAGGGAGAAAAACGUCCUGGUUUGUGGCCAAAAGAGCAGAAAAGAACAAAAAUCAGCUAUGGCUGUAAACCUGGACUUGUCUGUGGCAGAAAGAGUUAACAGGAUGGUGGUCUCAGGGUGAGGACCGGCUGGGAGAAGCUCACAGGGUUCAAGAAAAGACGAUGCAACAUUCAGCGUGGGACAGCCCUGUCUGCCUUAUGGGUGCUGUCACUCAAAGAGUUAAGCCAGUCUUGGGGCUGGGAAGCCUCAGGGAAGGCCUGAGCCUGCAAGGACCAGGCCCUUUAUGCCCCAGAGCAAUGAGGUGUAGGGUAAAAAUUGGGCUGAAAGUGUGGCCAGGGAGUGAAGUGUAGGCCCAACUUUUUUUUGCCGUGUUUGACCAGCCUUGGCACUGCCCUCAGGCUCUCCAGGGGAAAAGCUGCAGUUCUGCUCUUGCAACACAAGGAGCAGACUGGAGAAUUUAGAUCUGCGUCACAGAGCUCAGAGAGAGAGAGAGAGAGAGAGAGAGGGAGAGGCAGAGGGAGAGGGAGAGAGAGAGAGAAGAGAGAGCGAGAGCGCUCUGUCGAUAGGUCUGCUAGCAAGAGCUGUGCUGCAGCAGAGAGAGAGAAAUCAAGAAACAAGUCAUAGCAACACCGGGCACCAGGUUCUGCCAGCUCACUUGCCAAGCAUACAGAAAUCUGUCGGGGGCUGGAGGCCUCUGGGUAGCCUAGGCUAAGGAGAUGACAUGCAAGGUGGCACGGGCGGUUCCCGUGGGGAGGAGGUGGGGUGGUGGUGGAGUCAGUGGUGGCAGCAAGAGGUUGUGGGGCAAUGGUGGAAGGUUUAACGGGACCAAUUUCUGGAACCUUCGGGACUGUGGCACCUUACGGCCGGACUGAGAUUUGGGUCUGCGCAGGCGACGAUGGGUGGUCCGAUGGACUUCAGGAGUUGAUGGUGUAACCCCCUUCUUCCCCCACGGGACGAGAUUUGCAUUGACGUCCGGGGCUGUCCAGAGCCGAGCCCAGUAUGAGAAGGACCUGCCUUCUGGAAGCUGCUGCUCCCUGGUUGGAAAGCAGGGCUGCCUGAUUUCUGACGCUGUUGCACCCCGUGAGAGGGAAGUUGGGCACCCUGAAGCCCCUCAUCACCAAUUCCAGGACUGCAGAGCGGGGAGUGACGACAGCUUAUGAAUCGUCAGCCGACGGCAGUGGGGACCCUGGUGACGGCUGCUUUGUUGUUUUUUUCCUCUUUGGAUGAUGACUCAGUCUGUCGGAGCGGGGAGAUGGAGCACUCAGCUGAGUGGCCAGGACGUUCUGUCAACACGAACGAAAGCAGCAAAAACAGCUUGUCGGGCUCAGAGCUGACCCUUAGGCUCAGGUCAUUUUCAGGAAGGAAUUGGCAAAGCAGCAGCCCACUGCUGGACAUCGGGGUGGGGCCGACACCAGAGAGAACUCAAAGGAGGUGAGAGCUCCAUGAGUAAGUGCCGACCUCGUGGACACUCGGCUCAGUGAGGAUGGUGCUGUUACGCAGAGGACAGCCAUCGUACUGGGGAAUAAACGUGUGCCCGUUUGCAUUUAUUUGCAAAAAAAGGAGCUGCCUGGCAGCCUGGCUCUGUGCAGUGCUGUUGAGCCACCAAUUUGUGUGGUUCUGUGACCGCAGUGCUGAUUGAUGUGUCAGGAUCCUGGUCUUGUCAGUGACUCAUCACCAGGGUGCUUAAUGGAAACCAAAUGCAGCCUGGAAAAUAGGAUUUAACCCCCUCCCUCCCUCCCAGGGGUGCUGAAGCAGAACAGAGAAUGGCAUGUCUUCUUGGCUGUGUGGCCCUCGCAGUGAUCACCAUUCGCAAGACCGAGGACUUGUAUGAAGGGGAACAGCAGCAUUCGUCUUUGUUUUCAGCCGCUUCGGCCAGGAUGGCUUAGCUUUACCUGGGCGUGUUCCUUGAGGAAGGAUUGGGAUGAGACAGGGCAGCAAGCAUGUGUCUGUACAUGUCUAGCCCUCCGUAGCCCCUGAGUGCAGCCUCAGCCAGUAGAGAAGCCCUGCGAUGGGGAACCCACAGGGGAGUUGUUCUGGUGCGUGAAGCCUGCAGUAACAUCACGUGGAAGGUUUGUCCUCUUGGACCCAGUCCUUCCCCCAGAGGAUGGGAAGGCUGGCUGGACCUGCAGCAGGUAGGGUGAUGUAGGCUAGACUCCAAGGACAACUGUGGCGUCCCCUUUGCUGAGGGCUCCCAAGGAACAAUGAAACGUCCUUACCUGACAGGGGACUCGAUGUCCUUCCGGUCUGCCGUCUAUGGGACGCUGAGACGGCCCCAGAAAGCAUGAGGUUUGGGUGCCAGGACCUACAGCGUGCUGUGCGGCUGCACUCUCCAUCUUUCCUUCCUGCCACUGAGGCUUAAGCUGACGGGCAGGGGGCACAUGAGCAGUGGGCCUGGAGCUCGUUUCCCCUGCAGAAGGAGCUUGUGGAACUGACCCUAUAGGACUGAUAUUAUUUGCAAAUAAAAAAAGGACAAAGGCAAGUGGCCACUCAUCUCUCAGGAAAGAGCCCUGAGCUGCUCUAAGCCUGUCUUUGGACCAUCACCACUACCUGCCCAGUCCUAGGGACCUUUGACAGGCCUUGGAGCCUGGUGGGGGGGGGAGAGGGGAGGAGAAGGCACAGGAGGUAGGGCCUGAGCGUUGUUUGUUGGGAGGAAGGUUGGAGGUGGAAGAGGGUUAUCUCAGGUCAGAUCCACAGCUCUGGGACCGCCAGCAUGGCCUGCUAUGCUAAAGGUACCGUGUGUGCUCAAACGGGCAUGCUAGUUAGAGGUAACCCGAAGCCUGAAAUAAACCAGUUAAUGACUAAGUGAAGAUCGUAUUAAAUCUGGAGAACCAUAUAUCCUUUUGUGUUAUUAACUCCUGCAGAUUUAGCACUGAAAGGCCGAACAGGUCAGGGACCUUUCAGUGGUUCUCUGAUCUGUAAGAUCAUGCUUUUGUUAUAUUGACUUUUUGUUUCCUUUCUUCUCUGUUUUCCCUCUCAUUCCUUACAUGUACAUGAAUGUUUAUCCAUGCAUUUGUGCUUUAAUUCCCUUGGGGUACGGUUCUUUCCAUGUCUCUGACAUCCUUGAAUGUAUUACUUUUGUUUCAGAUGUGAACAAACUACCAGCUCACUGCAGAGAUGCCCCAUCUCUGAGACGGGACAGGUGCCCAUCGGUUUCCCCCUCCUCACCUGGUCCUGGAGCAGGUCCUCCAGACCCCUGAGAGGUGAGAUUCAAGGGUGUCUUUGCUAGGGCCAGUUCAGCCCAUGUCAUGCUUCCUGUUUGGGGUGGGGUUGCUCAGGCAUGAAUCCCCCAGAUAUUUUAGCUGUUUCUUCUUUUCGGCUUGAACCCUGAGUAAUAGCCUUGAAAGUCUGAGACCACAUGUCAGCCUGCUAGGUGAGGAGGGCAGUAGGAGGACAGGAACACAAGUUCCUGGCCAUUGGCCUCUCCAAGACAGGUGAACUCUGUGUCCAAAAACGAGCUCAUUUAAUCUUUUGGCCCUAAUGGAAGUUAUUUGUAUUUUCUCUCCCUCUCUCUUUCUCGCCUCUCUGUCCCUCAACCCGCCCCCCCCGCCCCCACCACCACCACCGAGCCUGCAAAAGAAUUUAAUCUGCUGGACAACAAACAAUACUGUUAUAAAACUUGGAAAACAAGAGGGCGAGGCCUCCCUGACAAGGAGAAGGGCAUGCCGGGUAACAGCGAGGGAGCCUGCCAGGCCCACGAUGGAGCCGGCUGGCAGCCCAGUUUGGCUGGGUACCUGGGUGCCUGCCCCUGCCCAGCCCACCAGCUGUGCUACCCCAGUCCAGAGGGUCCUGAGACUGGCAGGCAGAGGCUCUGAUAACAAAUGAGGCUGGCCCUGCAUUGUAGGCACAGCUACCAGCCUGGCCAGCUGCAGGGGACGCAGGAGAGAAAGGUGCUUCAAGUUGGCUCUGGACUCUGGACCUACCUUCUGUCUGCCCAGCCUGCCUUCCCCCAACUAGGGAAGUGGAGCCAUGUCACAGGGUGUGCCCCAGUCCAUGUGCUCAGCCAGGUGUGUGCCCAGGUACUGGCUAGAACUGCCACGCCGAGGUUAGUGGGUACACCUCGGGCUUCCUGCUAUGGGCCUGGUGCCGGCCGGGGCCUUGGCCCCCGGAGGAUGUCUGUUCUCCCUCCAGGAGGAGUGGGGGCUGUGCUGCCAAGGCCAGGACAAGCCUUGGGAGGGACUCCUGGGGACAGGAACGUGCUUCUCGCAGCAGUAGGCCCAAGGUCUUGUGAGUGGGGCGUCCACGGGACAGUGUGUCUGCUACUCUGCCUGGGGAGGUGUGGAAGCUGGGCUCUGGGGCCUUUCUCCCUCAACCUCCAUAGUUAGAUUUCACCUGAGGCUGAGGUUUUCACUUCUGAGUCCAUCUUUACUGAGUCCAGUAGAUGAUUUGGGAGGGAGGAGGGAGCAGCGUUGGUGGUUUUCCUUUGGAUCCACAUUGGUCUGGACCUGGGAACUGUGUGGUGGGCAUUGUGUUUGUGUAAUAGACCGUAGGCAUGCUCUUUGCCUCUUGUGGAGAGCACGAGCUUCCUUGAAAGCAGUUAGAGCUCUGCCCGUCCUCCUUGGCCUGCACUAAGCCUUUCUCAGGAGACGUGGAGACAUCCACGCUCUGGUCGUCAUUCCAUCCCUCCUCCUCCCCUUUGCUCCUCACUGGCUGCCUUCCUCCAUGGCCCACUGCACCCCAAGGGCAGGAUAGCCAUGGGGCAUCCUCCCCUCCAGCCAGUCAGCUGACAGACCUAGGGCUUUCAUGCCCUGUACUGAGUGGGAGAUUUCCAGACCCAGGUUCUUGCUGGUGGUGUCGAGGAAGGGACAGAGAGGUCAACUUUGUGGAAAGCCACUGCCUAGGAACAUAGACCUCCGAACCCCUACCUCAGGCAAAGCAGAAUUGCUGAUGCUGGGCCCACGUAAGCUGAGGAGGCUGUGACUUCUUGCUCUGGUACCUCAGCGGGCAUCUGAGGAGCUGCUCAGUGGGCCGGCAGCAUGUUAUUCCCACUUUGGGAUCUGGAGCCUGGGAAGUGUGGUAGUCCCUGGAUGCUGAGCCCUCCUUUUAGGGGCCAAAAUGCCUGAAAGAGAGAGGCAACUCCAUGUUCCCUUUCCCCCCAGGCCCCAUACCCAUGCCCUUCAUUUUAUCACCUUUUCCUCUGAUUCAUUAACCACAGCUAGUUGGCAAAGGCCUGACCCCGACAGUUUUAAGACAAAAUGUCCAGGACACUGGGUCUGGGCUAGAGCAGGGAGCAACAGGAAGCUGGGCCGGGCCUGUCAGCUCAUACAUACAAUGGUUUGGGCAGAAUGUUCCCCUUUUCAAAAGGGCCUUCCCCGCGCCCCUCUAUCCCCAAGGUGAUUCUUCUCACCGCCAGGAGCCCUGAAACCAGCAUUCCCAGUGGCAGGAAGAAGGAUGAGCUGGGCUCUGCUUCCGGUACCCCUCCCCCACUCUGGCUGGAACUUGUGUCAGUCACGUAAGUAGCUGUGACUCAGCACCCAGCCCCGUUGGGAGGGAGAAGCUGCUGCCUUGCAGGAACCUUCUCAGUGUUCUGGAUUGGAACACGUUGCGGUUGCGCAGAACAAGCCAGCAGCGUUAGGUUCCUGGGGGCGAAUAUGUCUGUUUAUUCCAUGGGUUUGGUUAUGGAUUUCAUAAACAAAGAUGCCUCUCCUUCCCAUUUUCCUCCCAUAUUAUUUUUGGGGCACCAUGCUUGGCAUGGGAAUUUUUGGACUAUAAAAGACACAACGUGAUUUAUAGAAUGAAAUGGAAGGUUUCUUCGCAGUCUCCAGAUGGUUCUUUCCCCGACAGCCCAUGAAUUGUAUUUAACCCUCAGAUGUUUUUGUUUGGCCUGCACAACUUUGUUUUGUUUAUCUGGUUUUGCAUGCCUGCAGACAAAACACGGCCUGUCCAGGUCACUGUACUUGUGCUGCAGGCUUCUCUGUCUUAAGUUUCCUGCUGAGCCGUCAGAGUGUGUGACUGUGCAGUGACCAGCCUGCGCCAGCCCCCGUCUUCUCCGAUGACCUCUGAGGCCCAUUCCAGGGACAUUCUCACCGUCCAGGCGGAGCAGGAAGUCAAGCCACUGCUUGACGUUCCGAUUCACUGUGUGGUGACCUUUCCUCCACCCUCGGGUCCCUGCCCAGGCCGAGGAGUGUCCUGCGCACGGUGGGGGUGUGUCCUGCGCAUGGUGGGGGUGGGGGUGUGUGGACAAACCUCCAGAGAGAAUGUGGGCACAGAAAUGGACUAGGGCUGCAGUUUGGCUCCCGAAGCCCUCUUUGUGUUUGGUGUGUCACCUCCCAGGGUGACAGACCCACCCGUGUCGUGGGUGGUUUUCCUUCCCGGCAGCCCACCCAACCUUCUUCCCCUGGCCAGUGUGCAAGGUGCCAUCAGGCCCAUGCGGAAGGAUGCUGCCACCUGCCAGUGACAGCAGAGCCCUCAGCGGGCUGGUGCUUUCUUGGGCUGCCUUCUUACAGACAGACCUAGGUGGCCCUGUGCUGGGUGCCAGGGAGAGCAAGCCCCUUCCAGCCCCCAUCAAACCACCCGCCUACAUCCAACUAGGGAAUAAAAACACGAGCUUGUUUCAGGUAAGUGAGUCAUUGAUCAGCAGACUUGCAGAGAGAAGCCUGGUUCUGUUGGGAAAGUUGAGAUUUGAACGGACCCUUUUACUCAAUAGGAUUGGAAGGGCUAAAGGUUUUGGUACUAAGAUUACUUUCUUCCCCUUCUUCUUCUUUUAGAGUCUUUACAGCGAUGUAUUGUUAAUGAUUUUUUUUUUUUUAAAUCUCUUCUUCCAGAGAACUAAAUAGUUUAGAACUCAAGAGUUGGGAGCCCAAACUCUAGUUCAAGUCCCUUAGUUCCUCAGUGACAGUUGCUGCUGUGCUGUGUGCAGCCCCUCCUCUGAACUCUGUGCUGACGCAGCCUGAGUAGCGGGAGAGACAUUAUUUAACCACCCUGAUGACCACAUGACAUAAGUGUGUCCUGAAGGAAAUGAACUAGAUGCUGGGAGAGGGCGACCUAGCUGGAAGCUGGACUGGGGUGGGGCGGGAGCUCUCCUGAGGAAGGGAGGGCUGAGCUGAGAGUUCAGACCACCUGGGUUACCAGGGGAGGGGGUUGCGGGGCGGGGUGAGGGGUGGGGUGUUGACAGGUGGUAGUGAUGGGAGAGCCCAUAGAGACAGCAUAUGCAGAGGCCUUCUGGUGGGAGGGAGUUGGGCUCACUGAAGAACAUGUGUCUGUGUGACAUCUUAGGAAAGGGUUUUAUGGAUACUGGCAAUUGGACGUUGCUAAGGAAGAAGAGUGUGGCUGAAGUAAAAAGCAGAAAAGCUGAGAAUUACCAAAUGUAGAUCUCUUCAUUUUAUAGGAUUCAGACCCCAUGGUAAUGACUGCCAUUAACACUCACUCCUGACCUAAAGCCCUAGUGACCCCGUUAACAGGAACCGACUGUUGACUACAAGUGUCCUCAUCUGAGCCCCUGCGGGCAGAGCCGACCCCAGCUCUGCCGUCUGUGGCUGAGGCCUUGCAAAGUCUCACGGGCUGCAGAGCCCUGGUGCUGGUGUCAGGGUCACUUGGGCAUCCUCUCAGCAUUGCUGGGAGCUUCAUCUCCAGCGGCCCCCACUCCCACAGCCGUGCUAUGGGACAUCGCAAAGGCGCCAGAGGAGCAGAACAAAGCAGCUGCCUCAACCACCAGGCCCCUUGCAGAACCAGUCGUGCUCCAGUCUCCACUCGAGUUUAACGUGUUGUACAGUCAGUAACAUGCCACUUCCAUGCAGAAAUAUUGCCUCAGAUACACAUGCCGCCCUCACCCCGUCUUGCUCGUAAUUAAGUUCAAGUACAGGGGGAGAUGAUAGUGCAGCUUUGGAGCAGGCGGCAGUGGGCAGAGGGGCAGGACACAGGCUUCGGUGUUCCAUCUGGGAUCUACACCAUUUAUUAGUCACGUGACUGGACACAUUAUUGAACCACGUUGAGGAUCCAUUUCUUCUCCUGCAAAAAUGACUAUUGUGAGAAUUAAAGAGCACAACUUGGUAUUCAAAUGUUGCUUCCUUCUCUUCCCUUAGAGCAGACAUACCAUUAUUUCCAGGGACCAUAAAAAAAUACAAGCCUGUAUCUAGAGGCCUAAAGAACUGGUAGGAACUUAUAGAUUCUGUGUGUCUUUCUCUUGGUUAUGGUGUCAGUAGAAAUAGAGACAUGUUUUUUAGUUUCAAACAGCCAAAGAAGGUGAUGUAAUUAAUUAGGAUGUGGAAAAUCUAAUUUAAACACAGUUUGCAAAUCUUAUUUUAAGGCAAAUUUUAAAAACAACACAAAACUCAAUUCUUGUGUUCGAGGAUUAUCUACUUAACACACUUUUAGGACACCAGUUUUUUGUGUGUCACACCAGAGGUUAAAUAAGAUUGCCAGUGUUGUGACACUUAUGGCUGAGAAGGCGGAGCCCAUGCUCUUCCUGAAUAGGGCACUUAGAAAGCCUGCCCUGGCCCUGGUGAAAGUCACCUUUUUGUAGUGGCCAGAGCCUCACAGGCAGAUAGGGGGCUUGUUUCCUGAUGAAGUGAGAUAAUAUCAAAAAACGUUUUGCACACUGUGAAAUAUUGCACAAAUGCAGGGCAAUACUAAUGUAGCAAAGCAUUUUAAUGACAGCUUUGCCUAUUUUAUCUCAUUAUAUAUGUAAUAAUUGACGGACUGGUUGUGGAAUUAAACAAAUUAACAUAGCUUACGAGUUUGGUAUUGCUUCGUCUGUGUGAAGCAUCAGCCACGCCCCCCAGCUUCCAUGGGCAUCCCUGUGGAAGUCUCCUCUGUGCCUUUCGAAUGGAUCUUGAUAACUAUGUCAUGUCACGAGUGGACUGUAAGAAGACAUUCUCCUCGGGACAGAGGCUGGGUCUUCGGAUUGCAUCUCCUUUCUUCAGUGAGAUCCUCUUCUUCUGGAAGCUGGUUUCACAUGGUGGCUUAGAUUUUUCCAUCUUUGUAUCUAGCACCAUUUGAAAUCAGUGUUUUAGGAGUAAGAAUUGCAGCACAGCAUGGCUCUUGGGACUGGCUCCUCUCCUGCCACUGGAGCUGGUUCAAGAAGGAAGCAACUUGGAAAGCAAAGUACACUCUUGAGUAUGUUGGGUCUGGAGGGGUGACAGUAUGGGGAGCGGGUUCUGUUUGAAGACACUCGGGUUUGAGCAGGACAGAGGUUGUGAUGCUUUUUGUGUUGACGUGCAGCCUCAGCCACCAGCAGUGGUGACAGGCACUGAUGGCUUGGGUGCUUGAUCGUAAUAGGCAGGGCAGAGGGCUGUGUGCCCGGAGGCCUGUGUGUGCACACCAGCACUGUCCGCCCACUCCUGGAUGCCCUGGAACACACGGCCACCUGCACUGUCAAGGUGCAGGACCCCCGGGAGCACCGCUGGACCCAUCUCUUACACAGGCUGACCGAUUUCUCCUGGUGUUCAGAGUCUGUUUUUGUCUAGCACCAUUUGAAAUCGGUUAUGAUGUAGGGGGAAAAGCAGCAGCCUCGAAGCCUCACACCAAGUGUGCUCAGCAGCAGCCUGUGGUUUCCUGGAAGAUGGAUGGGCAGAGAGUGGGAAGGAAGCUUACACUGCUUCUUCCUAACUUCUUUCACUGCGUUUGUGAUACUUUAUUGCAGAGAUAGGAGAUAAUUUAAUGGAUUUUAAAAAACAAAUCACUAUAAUAUCUGAGGUCCUCAGUUGCAUUUUGCUGAAACGUGGUAGUGCUGUAAAUUCUAUAAAUUGCUUCCUUGUUGACUUGUUUUUCUGUUAAGAACAGACUAUUCAUGUAUCUGAACUUAAUAAAUGUUUUACCACCUUCAA